RNAcentral lists this ribosomal RNA (503 nucleotides) under uncultured bacterium. RNAcentral's name for it is "bacterial SSU rRNA". It matches the Rfam family "Bacterial small subunit ribosomal RNA", at positions 20 to 518 of the family's 1533-position model. The record is from RNAcentral.
UGGCUCAGGAUGAACGCUAGCGGCAGGCUUAACACAUGCAAGUCGAGGGGCAACGCGAGUAGCAAUACUUGGCGGCGACCGGCGCAAGGGUGCGUAACGCGUGAGCAACAUGCCCGUAUCAGGGGGAUAAUCCAGGGAAACUUGGUCUAAUACCCCAUAGUAAUUUUGUAAGGCAUCUUAUAAGAUUUAAAGCUUUGGUGGAUACGGAUUGGCUCGCGUGACAUUAGCUGGAUGGUAAGGUAACGGCUUACCAUGGCUAUGAUGUCUAGGGGUUCUGAGAGGAAGGUCUCCCACACUGGAACUGAGACACGGUCCAGACUCCUACGGGAGGCAGCAGUGAGGAAUAUUGGACAAUGGAUGGAAAUCUGAUCCAGCCAUGCCGCGUGAAGGAAGAAGGUCCUAUGGAUUGUAAACUUCUUUUGUAUGGGAGCAAUAAGGCCUACGUGUAGGUUGAUGAGAGUACCAUACGAAUAAGCACCGGCUAACUCCGUGCCAGCCGCUGC